Podarcis lilfordi (Lilford's wall lizard) is the source of this 75-nucleotide non-coding RNA. NCBI's taxonomy places the organism in Eukaryota, Metazoa, Chordata, Lepidosauria, Squamata, Lacertidae. The record is from the annotation of a GenBank genome assembly.
GUGCAACUACAGCUCAAUUGGUAUAGCAUGAGGCUCUUAAUCUCAGGGUUGUGGGUCUGAGCCCCACGUUGAGCA